RNAcentral lists this ribosomal RNA (505 nucleotides) under uncultured bacterium. RNAcentral's name for it is "partial 16S ribosomal RNA". It matches the Rfam family "Bacterial small subunit ribosomal RNA", at positions 28 to 507 of the family's 1533-position model. The record is from RNAcentral.
GACGAACGCUGGCGGCGUGCCUAAUACAUGCAAGUAGAACGCAAAGUUUAUACCGUAGCUUGCUACACCAUAGCCUGUGAGUUGCGAACGGGUGAGUAACGCGUAGGUAACCUGCCUGGUAGCGUGGGGUAACUAUAGUAAACGAUAGAUAAUACAGCAUAAUCUUGAUUAUUGCAUGAUACUUAAUUGAAAGCUGCAAUUGCUCCACUACCAUCUGAACAUGCGUUGUAUUAGCUAGUAGGUGAGGUAACGGAUCACCUAGGCGACGAUACAUAGCCGACCUGAGAGGGUGAUCGGCCACACUGGGACUGAGAAACGGCCCAGACUCCUACGGGAGGCAGCAGUAGGGAAUCUUCGGCAAUGGACGAAAGGCUGACCGAGCAACGCCGCGUGAGUGAAGAAGGUUUUCGGAUCGUAAAGCUCUGUUUUAAGAGAAGAACAGGUGUGAGAGUGGAAAGUUCACACUGUGACGGUAUCUUACCAGAAAGGGACGGCUAACUACGUG